GUGGGCAUAGCUCAGUUGGUUAGAGCGCCUGAUUGUGGUUCAGGAGGUCGCGGGUUCAAAUCCCGUUGCUCACCC
This 75-nucleotide transfer RNA is filed under the name Thalassoglobus neptunius. RNAcentral's name for it is "Planctomycetes bacterium KOR42 tRNA-His". It matches the Rfam family "tRNA". From Rfam's summary of the family: Transfer RNA (tRNA) molecules are approximately 80 nucleotides in length. Their secondary structure includes four short double-helical elements and three loops (D, anti-codon, and T loops). Further hydrogen bonds mediate the characteristic L-shaped molecular structure. tRNAs have two regions of fundamental functional importance: the anti-codon, which is responsible for specific mRNA codon recognition, and the 3' end, to which the tRNAs corresponding amino acid is attached (by aminoacyl-tRNA synthetases). tRNAs cope with the degeneracy of the genetic code in two manners: having more than one tRNA (with a specific anti-codon) for a particular amino acid; and 'wobble' base-pairing, i.e. permitting non-standard base-pairing at the 3rd anti-codon position. The record is from RNAcentral. Lineage: Bacteria; Pseudomonadati; Planctomycetota; Planctomycetia; Planctomycetales; Planctomycetaceae.